This 353-nucleotide ribosomal RNA is filed under the name Kurtiella planulata. RNAcentral's name for it is "Mysella planulata partial 16S ribosomal RNA". It matches the Rfam family "Bacterial large subunit ribosomal RNA", at positions 1862 to 2515 of the family's 2925-position model. Lineage: Eukaryota; Metazoa; Mollusca; Bivalvia; Galeommatida; Montacutidae. The record is from RNAcentral.
CCCGGUGNCUUAAUUUUAACGGCCGCAAUUAAUAGUUGUGCUAAGGUAGCGUAAUAAUUUGUCCUCUAAUUAAGGAAAGGAAUGAAUGGUUUGACGUGAAAAACACUGUCUUUGGAGUAUAGUAAAAACUUUUAAUAUUAGUGAAAAAACUAAUUUAUUUAAAAAAGACGAGAAGACCCUAUUGAGCUUAAAUAAAAAGUUUAAAAGGAAUUACUAAUAAAAUUUAGUUGGGGCAACUUAGAAGAAAAAUUAAACUUCUUGAAUUUUUUACGGAUCCAAAAUGUUUGAAUAAAGAACAAGUUACCGUGGGGAUACCAGCGUUAUCUUUUCUAAGAGAACAAAUCGAAGAGAAG